UAAUUUACCUUCGGUGGGGAAUAACAAUCGGAAACGGUUGCUAAUACCGCAUGAUGCAGCGGCACCACAUGGUGACAGUUGUUAAAGCGGGGGAUCGCAAGACCUCGCGCCUGAAGAGAAGCCCGCGGCAGAUUAGCUAGUUGGUAAGGUAAUGGCUUACCAAGGCAACGAUCUGUAGCCGGCCUGAGAGGGCGGUCGGCCACACUGACACUGAAUAACGGGUCAG
RNAcentral lists this ribosomal RNA (226 nucleotides) under uncultured bacterium. RNAcentral's name for it is "partial 16S ribosomal RNA". It matches the Rfam family "Bacterial small subunit ribosomal RNA", at positions 122 to 334 of the family's 1533-position model. The record is from RNAcentral.